This 521-nucleotide ribosomal RNA is filed under the name uncultured bacterium. RNAcentral's name for it is "bacterial SSU rRNA". It matches the Rfam family "Archaeal small subunit ribosomal RNA", at positions 345 to 866 of the family's 1478-position model. The record is from RNAcentral.
AACCUCCGCAAUGUGAGAAAUCGCGACGGGGGGAUCCCAAGUGCCAUUCUUAACGGGAUGGCUUUUCAUUAGUGUAAAGAGCUUUUGGAAUAAGAGCUGGGCAAGACCGGUGCCAGCCGCCGCGGUAACACCGGCAGCUCUAGUGGUAACAAUUUUUAUUGGGCCUAAAGCGUCCGUAGCCGGUUUAAUAAGUCUCUGGUGAAAUCCUGCAGCUUAACUGUGGGAAUUGCUGGAGAUACUAUUAGACUUGAGACCGGGAGAGGUUAGAGGUACUCCCAGGGUAGAGGUGAAAUUCUGUAAUCCUGGGAGGACCGCCUGUUGCGAAGGCGUCUAACUGGAACGGUUCUGACGGUGAGGGACGAAAGUUAGGGGCGCGAACCGGAUUAGAUACCCGGGUAGUCCUAACUGUAAACGAUGCGGACUUGGUGUUGGGGUGGCUUUGAGCUGCUCCAGUGCCGAAGGGAAGCUGUUAAGUCCACCGCCUGGGAAGUACGGUCGCAAGAUUGAAACUUAAAGGAAUU